RNAcentral lists this ribosomal RNA (156 nucleotides) under uncultured eukaryote. Its description in RNAcentral is "partial 18S ribosomal RNA". It matches the Rfam family "Eukaryotic small subunit ribosomal RNA", at positions 1299 to 1458 of the family's 1831-position model. The record is from RNAcentral.
UGGUGGAGUGAUUUGUCUGGUUAAUUCCGUUAACGAACGAGACCUUAACCUAUUAAAUAGUUACAUGAACUUGGGUGUUUUAUCCCAAUAGUUUAUGGUUAACUUCUUAGAGGGACUCUUCACGUAAAUAGUGAAUGGAAGUUUGAGGCAAAAACA